Molecule: small nucleolar RNA, 88 nt
Organism: Vitis riparia (riverbank grape)
Lineage: Eukaryota; Viridiplantae; Streptophyta; Magnoliopsida; Vitales; Vitaceae
Product: small nucleolar RNA snoR114
Exons: 1
Source: RefSeq, a predicted model, not a curated record
GAGCGAUGAUGAAUCCCAGUGCUCACCGUGCGAUCCUGGGUCGAUCACACCCAUCUGACAUCCAGAUGAGAACAGCACCUCUGAGCUC